This 145-nucleotide unclassified non-coding RNA is filed under the name uncultured Mortierella. Its description in RNAcentral is "sequence contains ITS1". The record is from RNAcentral. Lineage: Eukaryota; Fungi; Mortierellomycota; Mortierellomycetes; Mortierellales; Mortierellaceae.
UAAUAAGUGUUUUAUGGCACUUUUUAAAUCCAUAUCCACCUUGUGUGCAAUGUCGGUCGCUUCUCUUUUUUGAGAGCCGGCCAAACAUCAACCUAUUCUUCAACUCUUUGUCUGAAAAAUAUUAUGAAUAAAAUAAUUCAAAAUA